RNAcentral lists this ribosomal RNA (575 nucleotides) under uncultured bacterium. RNAcentral's name for it is "partial 16S ribosomal RNA". It matches the Rfam family "Bacterial small subunit ribosomal RNA", at positions 355 to 920 of the family's 1533-position model. The record is from RNAcentral.
UGGGGAAUUUUGGACAAUGGGCGAAAGCCUGAUCCAGCAAUGCCGCGUGUGUGAAGAAGGCCUUCGGGUUGUAAAGCACUUUUGUCCGGAAAGAAAUCCUUGGCUCUAAUACAGUCGGGGGAUGACGGUACCGGAAGAAUAAGCACCGGCUAACUACGUGCCAGCAGCCGCGGUAAUACGUAGGGUGCAAGCGUUAAUCGGAAUUACUGGGCGUAAAGCGUGCGCAGGCGGUUUGCUAAGACCGAUGUGGAAUCCCCGGGCUCAACCUGGGAACUGCAUUGGGUGACUGGCAGGCUAGAGUAUGGCAGAGGGGGGUAGAAUUCCACGUGUAGCAGUGAAAUGCGUAGAGAUGUGGAGGAAUACCGAUGGCGAAGGCAGCCCCCUGGGCCAAUACUGACGCUCAUGCACGAAAGCGUGGGGGAGCAAAACAGGAUUAGAUACCCUGGUAGUCCACGCCCUAAAACGAUGUCAACUAGUUGUUGGGGAUUCAUUUCCUUAGUAACUAGCUAACGCGUGAAGUUGACCGCCUGGGGAGUACGGUCGCAAGAUUAAAACUCAAAUGAAUUGACGGGGUC